Molecule: long non-coding RNA, 2338 nt
Filed under: Strigops habroptila (Kakapo)
Lineage: Eukaryota; Metazoa; Chordata; Aves; Psittaciformes; Psittacidae
Description: lncRNA (ENSSHBG00005006779.1)
Source: RNAcentral
GUGCAUUACCGUGGCUGGUGUGGCUUCUCAGGAAGCUAUACAUUUCAAAUGUACAAAUGUACAUUUGAAAUACAUUUCAAAUCCUCAUCCUUAGAUUGUCCUUUUUUUUUUUUUUUUUACCACACUACAGCUUAGUUAAAAUACACCCCACUCCUCCUCUCACCCCAGAUUCCUGCCACAUACCUGGCAUUCCUUCAUCCUUAAUGAGAUGAAGGAGUGGGGGAUUUCACCCUCCUGGAAUUUUAGAGGAAUACUAAGUGGAUUUCUCAUGAAAAGCCGUAUUUAGGGUACAAAUGUCCCUCAAAGAGAGUCCCCAUAUGGCAAACCUUGCUUUUGAGGGUAAUGGUGAACAAAGUGUUUAGGUCCUCGUUUAAUAGCUAAUUUGGAAUAUAUAGCAAUAUACAUAAAAUACAUAUAUAUACUUGAAAUAUAUAGCAAUAACAAUCUGGCACAGGGUGCCCAGAGAAGCUGUGGCUGCCCCAUCCCUGGCAGUGUUCAAGGCCAGGUUGGACACAGGGGCUUGGAGCAACCUGCUCUAGUGGAAGGUGUCCCUGCCUGUGGCGGGGGGUUGGAACUGGAUGAGCUUUAAGGUCCCUGCCAACCCAAACUAUUCCAUGGUUCAUUGAUUCUGCUUUGGUCCUGUUGUAAGUAUUGCCAUUGAUGGAGACCAUGUUGGAACAAGCUCCUGGGAGUGUGGAUGAAGCAGAAGAGACUUGCAUCCUUGCAAAUGUAGGUAGGGACACCAGUGGAACUCCUGGGCUGUUGGCACUUGAGAUUUUACCAGUCACUACAGUGUGGACAAACUCUCCAUAGACAAGGCAACAUAAAGGUUGUUAAGUCAAAAUAGUUUUCUUCAGGCUCAGUCAUUAGUUGAUCCUAAUAAAGCACAAAGCUGGUUGGAUCAAAGGUUCUUCUGGCCUCAUCCUGGUAGUGACCUCCAGGAGAUGUUGAGGGAGACGUAUAAGAAUAGGAGCAGUAGUGAUCACGUGUGUAAAACAGGAAGAAGAUUGUAAAUAAUUCCAGCUAGUUAACACCACAUAACCAGGAAGGCAUGUGAAUGUGGUGCUCCGGGAGCCUCUCUUUCCAUGGGAUCCAUCACUGUCGCAGGACUUUUACUCGUGUUGAAAGGACAAGUUAAGGCGCCAAAUUACAGAAGUCCACAUUGAUGUGGAUUUUUCAGUAGCAACACUGUGCUGGACUGUGACCAUGCCUUCGGAGCUCUGUGUUGUGCGUGUUCUUAGUUGGCUGUGAUAGCCCCGAACUGUGAUCCAGGAGAAGAGCUGGGAUAGGACACUUGUGUCUGGUCAGUAAGCCCAGCCCUGCCUCCUGCUCUGGAGAGGGGCUUCACUGCAGCCCCCAGGGCAGGUGCAAAGGCAGCAGCAGCCCUGGGUCUGUUGUGUGACAGCCCCACGCUGCUUUCAUCCAGCCCCAUGGUGGCAAAGGGCCACGGGCUGUUCUUGCUGCUGGGGAAACAAUGGAGAGGAAAGCUUUGAUUUCGCCAGUGAUGGACACCCUCCUGCUCAAGGGUGGUGCCGAUGGAAGGAACUGGGGGCCGGGGCUCGGUUUUUUUGCUUUUAUCCUUUGUUAACUGCUGGUAGCUUCUUGUUGUGAGAACUGCCACGACCUCUCUUGAGGGUUUGUUUAUGCGCUUUGGCUGACAUUGUUCGCAGCAGGACUUUGAUACACAGCCCCGGGGGUGUUCUCUGGCUCGGAACAGGAAGAGUUGAGCCCGGCUGAACACCACUGUGCUCCAGCCCGGGAAGAAGAAGGGCUGGUGCCCUGCCAUGGUGGCAGCAUGCAGGGAUGGGACUUCCCAUCGCCUGCGGACGACAAGUCAGUCACAUGCUAUUAUGGACUGUCGCCAGGCUGAUGGCUUGUGCCCUCCUCCCCUCCACAGCAGCAUCUCAUGUCCACAGCAGUUAUGGCCAGGCUGGAGCAGCGGAUGGUGCUGCGCCCCCCGCAGGUGGAGAAGAUGCAAAGAAGAAUCUGGCGUUUACAGGGAUUUGUUGUUUUUCUAAGAGAACAACCAGGAGGCUGCAGGGUCGUGCCUGGAAGAGCUGGGAGAUGCCCAACACAUGAUCUGGGGGAGCUUUGCUCAAGCCUCCUGCUCAUGGUGUCCUGGGGGGUUGCUGGCUGCUCCACCAACCCCUUGUCAGGGCUGAAUUGAGGAAGGAAUGAUUCCCAACUUCUGAGGGCUUCACUUCCCAAAGUACUGUAAAACUUACAUGUCCAUACCUUUUGCAAUAGAUCCUGUUCACAGGAGGCUUUGUUUCUGCACCUCACUGCCCAAAUCCUUCUGGGUAUUGAAAGAAAACAACUUUAAUAAUAAUGCAGAAAU